This 121-nucleotide ribosomal RNA is filed under the name Candidatus Poribacteria bacterium. RNAcentral's name for it is "partial 16S ribosomal RNA". It matches the Rfam family "Bacterial small subunit ribosomal RNA", at positions 1 to 123 of the family's 1533-position model. The record is from RNAcentral. Lineage: Bacteria; Candidatus Poribacteria.
AACUGGAGAGUAUGAUACCGGCUCAGGGCGAACGCUGGCGGCGUGGAUUAGACAUGCAAGUCGGCUCGAAAGACCCUUCGGGGUUGAGUAGGGCGGCGAACGGGUGAGUAACACGUAGGUA